UGUCUUCUCUGGUGCGAACUGACUCUGAUGUCAAAACACUGUACAAGUCAGCAUUCAUGAUUCUAGAGUUAAAAACUGGGCAGCUGUAGAGAUCCAUUUCAAGUGUGAAAUUGUCUUCUUCACUGAGACAGCAAUAAAGAGGGAAGAAGGAAAGCCAAAGAGGGCAGGACCUGGUCAGACCUCCAGUCAAACGUGGAAGUGUCUGGGCAAAGACCAGCAAGGUGUAAAACAUACGGAUAUUUGUUCAGCACAUUACUAUUCCUUGAUGCUUUGAGGCCGUAUUUAAAGUUGUAUUUUCCAUGAAACGUUGUAGAAUUUGGCAAUAUAGUCAAUAUUUUAUAAGUGUACAUUUAGUUUUGAUCAAUUUCAUUUUUUAUUAUGAGGAAUGUCUGGAUUGGUCCACCCUGGAGGUCAGGAGCAUUGUUUGUUUGACUCGGAGUAUGUGUGCCGCACCACACAAACACAUUUGUCGACCUGCCCCCACUGUUAACUUCCCCACAGUCACACCAAACACCAAUUUCACCCCUGUUCCCACCGCCACUUUACCAGCAGCACCACCGCCAGCAGCACACGGCUCAUUCACAGAGAUGCUGCAGAACUGGCAGCCGAUGGACGAUAUGCCAUGUGAGUGUAUUCUUCUGCUUUCUGACUGACUUUCUUUUGUAUGUAUUAAUUUUAUAAAACAUUUUUCCUCACUUCCCUUAACACAGUGUUCUCUUGUAGCGCUGCCAGGCUGUCAGACUUUAUGAGGGGACCCCCAGCAAUCAUCAGAACCAGGCAGGGCCAACCGUGAUUUCCACCCAGCCAUCUUACUGGAAUUUGUCCAUGCUGAGGGACGUGUUGACUAAAUUAGAGAUGGUGCUGGACCAACAAUCCACUGAGCUUGUGAACACUCGUGAACAACUAUCACAAAACAUAAACACAUCAUGUCGUUGAUCAUCCAGGUAACGACACACAGGAUUACGAAUGAAGAGUAUGUAAACUUUUGAACGGGGUCAGUUUUAUAAAUUCAGCUAUUCUCUUGUGGACUAUAUGUAAACAUCUGUUAUGUGAAAUAGCUUAUUCAGGACAGGACUAAAUAAACAACAUGGGAUUUUUAUAAUCCUUCUUAUUUUGGUAAAAGUAUUAAGAUUUAGCAGAUUCUGCCACGGGUUAUGCGAACUUCCGACCGCAACUGUAUGUUCUCUGUCUUUUCUUUACAAAAUGUAAAUCUAUUUAUUUGACUUAUUUUGUUAUUUGUUAAUAAAUAUUCAUAUUGUAUGAAUUCAUAUGGUCCAUAUUGUGUUUUUUAAUUGUUUAUAAAAGUCCUUGAUGUUUUUAAGCGGUUGAAUUUAUGUGUGUGUGAGAUUUUUUUUUUGUC
Long non-coding RNA from Ictalurus furcatus (blue catfish), 1360 nucleotides. RefSeq lists it as uncharacterized. The record is from RefSeq and is a predicted model, not a curated record. The transcript has 3 exons. NCBI's taxonomy places the organism in Eukaryota, Metazoa, Chordata, Actinopteri, Siluriformes, Ictaluridae.